AGUGAACGCUGGCGGUAGGCCUAACACAUGCAAGUCGAACGGCAGCACAGUAAGAGCUUGCUCUUACGGGUGGCGAGUGGCGGACGGGUGAGGAAUACAUCGGAAUCUACUUUUUCGUGGGGGAUAACGUAGGGAAACUUACGCCAAUACCGCAUACGACCUACGGGUGAAAGCAGGGGAUCUUCGGACCUUGCGCGAUUGAAUGAGCCGAUGUCGGAUUAGCUAGUUGGCGGGGUAAAGGCCCACCAAGGCGACGAUCCGUAGCUGGUCUGAGAGGAUGAUCAGCCACACUGGAACUGAGACACGGUCCAGACUCCUACGGGAGGCAGCAGUGGGGAAUAUUGGACAAUGGGCGAAAGCCUGAUCCAGCAAUACCGCGUGAGUGAAGAAGGCCUUCGGGUUGUAAAGCCCUUUUGUUGGGAAAGAAAAGAAGCAGGUUAAAACCCCGAUGUUCUGACGGUACCCAAAGAAUAAGCAACGGCUAACUUCGUG
RNAcentral lists this ribosomal RNA (492 nucleotides) under uncultured bacterium. RNAcentral describes it as "partial 16S ribosomal RNA". It matches the Rfam family "Bacterial small subunit ribosomal RNA", at positions 29 to 507 of the family's 1533-position model. The record is from RNAcentral.